This 295-nucleotide unclassified non-coding RNA is filed under the name Sinorhizobium medicae. RNAcentral describes it as "partial ribonuclease P RNA". It matches the Rfam family "Bacterial RNase P class A", at positions 62 to 334 of the family's 367-position model. From Rfam's summary of the family: Ribonuclease P (RNase P) is a ubiquitous endoribonuclease, found in archaea, bacteria and eukarya as well as chloroplasts and mitochondria. Its best characterised activity is the generation of mature 5'-ends of tRNAs by cleaving the 5'-leader elements of precursor-tRNAs. Lineage: Bacteria; Pseudomonadati; Pseudomonadota; Alphaproteobacteria; Hyphomicrobiales; Rhizobiaceae. The record is from RNAcentral.
CGGAAACACGGUGCCGGAUAACGUCCGGCGGGGGCGACCCCAGGGAAAGUGCCACAGAAAGCAGACCGCUCCGCUUGCGGAGUAAGGGUGAAAGGGUGGGGUAAGAGCCCACCGCGGACAUGGCGACAUGGACGGCACGGCAAACCCCACCGGGAGCAAGACCGAAUAGGGACGACACGGGCGCGCAAGCGUCCAGCCGGUUUCCAGGCGCGUCGUCCGGGUGGGUUGCACGAGGCUGCGCGCAAGCGCAGUCCCAGAUGAAUGGCUGCCACGUUUCGUCUCCUCGGAGGCGGAG